RNAcentral lists this ribosomal RNA (407 nucleotides) under uncultured bacterium. RNAcentral describes it as "partial 16S ribosomal RNA". It matches the Rfam family "Bacterial small subunit ribosomal RNA", at positions 28 to 526 of the family's 1533-position model. The record is from RNAcentral.
GACGAACGCUGGCGGCGUGCCUAAUACAUGCAAGUCGAACGCAGUUUCGAACGGGUGAGUAACGCGUAGGUAACUUCCUCAUAGCGGGGGAUAACUAUUUGAAACGAUAGCUAAUACCGCAUACUGUGAGCUGGACCUGCGUUGUAUUAGCUAGUUGGUGGGGUAAAGGCUCACCAAGGCGACGAUACAUAGCCGACCUGGGAGGGGGGUCGGCCACAAUGGGACUGAGAAACGGCCCAGACUCCUACGGGAGGCAGCAGUAGGGAAUCUUCGGAAAAGGACGGAAGGCUGACCGAGCAAAGCCGCGGGAGUGAAGAAGGUUUUCGGAGCGGAAAGCUAUGUUGUUAGAGAAGCGGUAACUAACGAGAAAGGGACGGCUAACUACGUGCCAGCAGCCGCGGUAAUUC